UAAGGUAGCGAAAUUCCUUGUCGGGUAAGUUCCGACCCGCACGAAAGGCGUAACGAUUUGGGCACUGUCUCAACGAGAGACUCGGUGAAAUCAUAGUACCUGUGAAGAUGCAGGUUACCCGCGACAGGACGGAAAGACCCCGUGGAGCUUUACUGUAGCCUGAUAUUGAAAUUCGGCACAGCUUGUACAGGAUAGGUAGGAGCCUUUGAAACGUGAGCGCUAGCUUACGUGGAGGCGUUGGUGGGAUACUACCCUAGCUGUGUUGGCUUUCUAACCCGCACCACUUAUCGUGGUGGGAGACAGUGUCAGGCGGGCAGUUUGACUGGGGCGGUCGCCUCCUAAAAGGUAACGGAGGCGCUCAAAGGUUCCCUCAGAAUGGUUGGAAAUCAUUCAUAGAGUGUAAAGGCAUAAGGGAGCUUGACUGCGAGACCUACAAGUCGAGCAGGGUCGAAAGACGGACUUAGUGAUCCGGUGGUUCCGCAUGGAAGGGCCAUCGCUCAACGGAUAAAAGCUACCCCGGGGAUAACAGGCUUAUCUCCCCCAAGAGUUCACAUCGACGGGGAGGUUUGGCACCUC
This 576-nucleotide ribosomal RNA is filed under the name Clostridium perfringens. Its description in RNAcentral is "partial 23S ribosomal RNA". It matches the Rfam family "Bacterial large subunit ribosomal RNA", at positions 1952 to 2527 of the family's 2925-position model. The record is from RNAcentral. Lineage: Bacteria; Bacillati; Bacillota; Clostridia; Eubacteriales; Clostridiaceae.